Molecule: ribosomal RNA, 912 nt
Filed under: Salmonella enterica
Lineage: Bacteria; Pseudomonadati; Pseudomonadota; Gammaproteobacteria; Enterobacterales; Enterobacteriaceae
Description: partial 23S ribosomal RNA
Rfam family: Bacterial large subunit ribosomal RNA
Source: RNAcentral
GGAAGCGUCUGGAAAGGCGCGCGAUACAGGGUGACAGCCCCGUACACAAAAGCGCAUGUGUUGUGAGCUCGAUGAGUAGGGCGGGACACGUGGUAUCCUGUCUGAAUAUGGGGGGACCAUCCUCCAAGGCUAAAUACUCCUGACUGACCGAUAGUGAACCAGUACCGUGAGGGAAAGGCGAAAAGAACCCCGGCGAGGGGAGUGAAAAAGAACCUGAAACCGUGUACGUACAAGCAGUGGGAGCACAGGUUUACCUGUGUGACUGCGUACCUUUUGUAUAAUGGGUCAGCGACUUAUAUUCUGUAGCAAGGUUAACCGUAUAGGGGAGCCGGAGGGAAACCGAGUCUUAAUUGGGCGUUAAGUUGCAGGGUAUAGACCCGAAACCCGGUGAUCUAGCCAUGGGCAGGUUGAAGGUUGGGUAACACUAACUGGAGGACCGAACCGACUAAUGUUGAAAAAUUAGCGGAUGACCUGUGGCUGGGGGUGAAAGGCCAAUCAAACCGGGAGAUAGCUGGUUCUCCCCGAAAGCUAUUUAGGUAGCGCCUCGUGAAUUCAUCUCCGGGGGUAGAGCACUGUUUCGGCUAGGGGGCCAUCCCGGCUUACCAACCCGAUGCAAACUGCGAAUACCGGAGAAUGUUAUCACGGGAGACACACGGCGGGUGCUAACGUCCGUCGUGAAGAGGGAAACAACCCAGACCGCCAGCUAAGGUCCCAAAGUCAUGGUUAAGUGGGAAACGAUGUGGGAAGGCCCAGACAGCCAGGAUGUUGGCUUAGAAGCAGCCAUCAUUUAAAGAAAGCGUAAUAGCUCACUGGUCGAGUCGGCCUGCGCGGAAGAUGUAACGGGGCUAAACCAUGCACCGAAGCUGCGGCAGCGACACUGUGUGUUGUUGGGUAGGGGAGCGUUCUGUAAGC